ACAAGCCUGAGAAACGGCUAGUAGGACUAAGGUCUGCAGCAGGCGCGAAACUUACACAAUGCUAGAUUUCAUGAUUAGCGAUGUAGUGAAGAAAAAUAACGAUGUGCUUGCUUUUAAACAAGCUUGCACAAUUGGAAUGAGACGACUUUAAAUCAGUCAGUCGAGUAACAAAUGGAGGGCAAGUCUGGUGCCAGCAGCCGCGGUAAUUCCAGCUCCAUUAGCAUACAUUAAAGUUGUUGCGGUUAAAAAGCUCGUAGUUGAAUGUAGUGGGGGUCUUGGCGGCGUGCAACCGUUAAGGCUGCGGGCGCGGCCUCAAAACCCGUCCCAGCUGGUCGCAUCGACCGGACAGGGCCCUCAGUUUCGUCACUUAAUCGAGUGCGAAGCAGGUCGGCGGUAGGUUAGCCCUCCGGGGCGUCUAGCAUCGGCAAGUUUACCUUGAGAAAAUUAGAGUGCUCAGAGCAGGCAGUUGGGGUGUAAAAGCUCCUUUAUGCUUGAAUAAUGUUGCAUGGAAUAAUAGAAUACGGCCUCGGUUCUAUUCUGUUGGUCUUAUAGAACAACAAACAAGUUGGAUAGUUCACUAACGGGCGGUCGUUGGUGUGUCGCGCUUGGUCGUGCUGUUGGAAGCCUUAAAACUUUCAUACCUCCCAAGAGUGACAUUAAAAGCACCUCCAACCUCACCCAGAACUCCCAUCCAACUGAGGCAAUGGUUAAAAGAAAUAGUCGCGGCGGCAUCAGUACUGCAUCGUGAGAG
This 751-nucleotide ribosomal RNA is filed under the name Aculus ichnocarpi. RNAcentral's name for it is "bacterial SSU rRNA". It matches the Rfam family "Eukaryotic small subunit ribosomal RNA", at positions 389 to 910 of the family's 1831-position model. Lineage: Eukaryota; Metazoa; Arthropoda; Arachnida; Trombidiformes; Eriophyidae. The record is from RNAcentral.